Molecule: ribosomal RNA, 469 nt
Filed under: uncultured bacterium
Lineage: Bacteria
Description: bacterial SSU rRNA
Rfam family: Bacterial small subunit ribosomal RNA
Source: RNAcentral
UUCGCAAUGCCCGAAAGGGUGACGAAGCGACGCCGCGUGGGUGAAGAAGGCCUUCGGGUUGUAAAACCCUGUCAGGAGUUAUGAAAUGUAAGUGCGCUAAUAUCGUGCUUAUUUGACAAAGGCUCCAAAGGAAGCCACGGCUAACUCUGUGCCAGCAGCCGCGGUAAUACAGAGCCGGCGAGCGUUGUUCGGAAUUAUUGGGCGUAAAGAGCACGUAGGUGGGUUUGCAAGUCAGAUGUGAAAGCCUUCUGUUCAACGGGAGAAUUGCAUCUGAAACUGCUAAUCUUGAGUAUAGGAGGGGAGAAUGGAACUUCUGGUGGAGCGGUGAAAUGCGUAGAUAUCAGAAGGAACGCCGGCGGCGAAAGCGAUUCUCUGGCCUAUUACUGACACUCAGUGUGCGAAAGCUAGGGGAGCAAACGGGAUUAGAUACCCCGGUAGUCCUAGCCGUAAACGAUGGGCACUAAGUAGA